Unclassified non-coding RNA from Pongo abelii (Sumatran orangutan), 148 nucleotides. It matches the Rfam family "Metazoan signal recognition particle RNA". Rfam says of the family: The signal recognition particle (SRP) is a universally conserved ribonucleoprotein. It is involved in the co-translational targeting of proteins to membranes. Lineage: Eukaryota; Metazoa; Chordata; Mammalia; Primates; Hominidae. The record is from Ensembl.
GCUGGGCAUGGUGGCACAUGCCUGUAAUCCCAGCUACUUGGGAGGCUGAGGCUGGAGAAUCGCUUGAACCCAGGAGGUGGAGGUUGCAGUGAGCCAAGAUGGCACCACUGCACUCCAGCCUGGGCGACAGAGCGAGACUCUGUCUCAG